Molecule: ribosomal RNA, 742 nt
Filed under: uncultured archaeon
Lineage: Archaea
Description: bacterial SSU rRNA
Rfam family: Archaeal small subunit ribosomal RNA
Source: RNAcentral
CUAUGGACGGGAAUAACCUCGGGAAACUGAGAAUAAUGCCCGAUAGAACAUUAUGCCUGGAAUGGUUUAUGUUCCAAAUGAUUUAUCGCCGUAGGAUGGGACUGCGGCCUAUCAGUUUGUUGGUGAGGUAAUGGCCCACCAAGACUAUUACAGGUACGGGCUCUGAGAGGAGUAGCCCGGAGAUGGGUACUGAGACACGGACCCAGGCCCUAUGGGGCGCAGCAGGCGAGAAAACUUUGCAAUGCGCGAAAGCACGACAAGGUUAAUCCGAGUGGUUUCUGCUAAAGGAACCUUUUGUCGGUCCUAGAAACACCGAUGAAUAAGGGGUGGGCAAGUUCUGGUGUCAGCCGCCGCGGUAAAACCAGCACCUCAAGUGGUCAGGAUGAUUAUUGGGCCUAAAGCAUCCGUAGCCUGCUUUGUUAGUUUUCGGUUAAAUCUGUACGCUCAACGUACAGGCUGCCGGGAAUACUGCAAAGCUAGGGAGUGGGAGAGGUAGACGGUACUCGGUAGGAAGGGGUAAAAUCCUUUGAUCUAUUGAUGACCACCUGUGGCGAAGGCGGUCUACCAGAACACGUCCGACGGUGAGGGAUGAAAGCUGGGGGAGCAAACCGGAUUAGAUACCCGGGUAGUCCCAGCCGUAAACCAUGCAAACUCAGUGAUGCAUUGGCUUGAUGCCAAUGCAGUGCUGCAGGGAAGCCGUUAAGUUUGCCGCCUGGGAAGUACGUACGCAAGUAUGAAACUU